This is a non-coding RNA of Cherax quadricarinatus, 4876 nucleotides long. NCBI's taxonomy places the organism in Eukaryota, Metazoa, Arthropoda, Malacostraca, Decapoda, Parastacidae. The record is from RefSeq and is a predicted model, not a curated record.
GAAGGAGACACACCAAAGGCAAAGGGCCCUCAAUAAAGGCUCGCAGCAGUGUGGGGUCGUGAGAGACUCACCUCUGAGGGAGUCGAAGAAGAAAGUGUUGGUGGUGUAUGCUGAUGAUGUUAAGGCACAAGUGAUGGCCCUUAUGAAGCUUCUGCAGAAAAGAACUGAUUGCCAGAUUCUGGACUUGUACGACCCCCUGGACGUGGACAAAUUAAGGGAUGGGACAGGGUGGCUCGCAGCCAGACUCCUGGACCCAGCUACUGUGUUUCUCCUGGUAGCCUCCAUACAAGCUAGGAAAUUCCAGGUCCUCCAUGCCUCAACCAUGGAGGGUCACAGAAUCCAUAGUCUAGAGGACAAUACAUCUCCACACCUUAAGAAGCUGACAGAGAAAACACACUCUUGGAACCCUGAUUUUGUCUUUCCCACUGGAUGUUGUACGGUUGGACAUGCGAAGUCAGAAAAUACAUGUGUCUGGAUUAUGAAUAAGAAGGAUUCUGAGGGUUUAGACUCCUGCCCUACCAAGGCUCAUACAGGACUAAGCCCUCAGAGGCUCUCAACUUCAAGUCAAAGUUAUCCUGAUAAAGAAGACUUCAAGAGUAGGUCUCUUCCUGCUUUCAAACACCUGAUGUGCUCAUCAGGUAUCACGGGAUAUAAUUACUCCAACACCAGUGACCAACACCACCUUUCCAUUCUGAAGCUACGAGACCAAGACGCAAAAAUUGAUACAGAUGAUAAAAAAACAACUGAAGAGCAAGAGUCACAAGAAAAUGUAAUGGAAUGAAAACUGUCCAAGAGAAAGUUGAAUUGAGAUGUGACAAGACGGCAACAGACGAGAGUGGAAGUGUUACACAAGGACAAGGUGAUCAAACGAUGAUAGACUCAGUAGUAAAUGACAGUGCUGAGCAAGAGGUCUUCCACUUUCUUUUCCUUGACUUCCUGCAUAAGAUGCAAUCAUCUUUCUUCUCUCAAGAUUACAAUCGUCUUUACCAGAUAAAGUUUAAGGAGACCCCUGAGUACGCUGUGUUGGAUCACGUGACUCCUGGUCGUCUUUACCACCUGCCAGACCACCUGGACAACCUGCUCAGUACCUUCACCCGCCCCACCCACUCUUCUCUCUCCAGGCACCUCAUUUAAAAAUAAUUAGUUAUCCGAGGAGUUUAUUUUACAGUGAGGUUUUCCACCUCUGGUAACACGAUCAAGUCUACUGAUUCAAAUACUUCAUUAGAAACUCAUCCUGUUUGUUGUAGUACGACAGGAAAACCAUCCUGUGAUGCAGUAUGACAGCAGACCUCUUAUGUGAUGGAGUAUGAUAGGAAAACCACACUGUAUGAUGGAGUAUGACAAAACCAUUUUAUGUAUAUGUGUGUAUGUACUCACCUACAUCUGUCGCUGUAGGUGUCGAGUCUUAGCUCUUGGCCCCGGCUCUCAACAUGCUGCUUGCCAGAAUCACUUCCUCCUAACCUGGUGUACCUUAUUGUUCCUUCUCUUAAAACUAUAUGGAGUCUCUGCCUCUACCAUUUCUUCACCGAGAUUAUUCCAUUUUUCCUACCACCCUGAAACUGAGAAAAUGCUUUCUGUCAUCCCUGUGACUCAUCUGUGCCUUUAACUUUCAACUGUGUCCUCGUAUUUCUGUUUCUCGCUCUGAAACAGCCUUUGCCUGUUUACCCUAUCGCUUUCCUGAGUAUUUUGUUUGUUAUCAUAUCUUCCUUGGUUCUUCUGUCCUCCAAUGACGUUAGAUUCAGUUCCAUUGCCUCUUUUUAUAGCUCAUAGCCUUUAACUAAAAAACAAGCCUUCUUGCACACUUCUGCAUUUUCUCCAGUUUCUUAACAUACGUCCUCAGGUGUGGGUUUCAGACUGGUGCUGGUUACUUCAAAGUGGCCCUGACAUAUUUUGUAUAACGUGCCUGGAAAGACUGUUGAGAUUCCUAAGGCCAUUCUUAGAUGUGCCAGGCGAACAUUGGCUGCAGAGGUUAUUCGGUUGAUGUGAACCUCUGGCGACAUGCUAGGCAAUAUGCUCACCCCUGAGUCUUUUUCUUUGAGUGAGGUCUUCAAUCUCUGUCCCCCAAAACUAUACACUAAUUCUGGUCGUCUUUUCCCUUCCCCAAUCAUCAUGACCUUGCAUUUGCUGAAUUCCAACAACCACUAAUCUGAUCAAUCUUGCAGUUUGUCCGGAUCCAUUUGCAGCCUUUGCCUGUCCUCGUCUGUUUUUUUUUUUCUUCCCGUUAGUUUUACAUCAACAGCAAACAGGAAUGCAUUUGACUCAGUCCUGUUUGGAAUAUCAUUCACAUAAACCAGAAGCAGUACUUGCCCAAAUACCAAUCCUUGCAGCGCCUCACUUGUUACACUUCUCCUUUCUGGCGUCUCUUCCUGGACAAUCAGUCUUUGCCUUCUUCCUCUGAGGCACUAUGUGGUCCACCAGAGUAUGUUCCCUGUUAUUUCUGCCAACACCUGAAGUUUUUGACCCAAUCUCGUGGGGUACUGUAUCAAACGCCUUCUUGUAGUCUACCCAGUCCUCUCUCUUAUGUAUAUAUGCAUGCAUGUAUGUGUAUAUAUUUUUUAACACUGGCCGUCUGAGUGACCCGAAAAACACUUUCACCAUCAUUCACACUAUCACUCUUGCCAGAAGUGCUCAGAUACGACAGUUCAGAUGUUUGUGUGUAUAUAUAAAUACUCUUACCACUUCAUAAGAAAUGUAUUACCUGUGCGUUAAGGUUUUUUUUUAAUUGUAUUGCAAUGUAUGAUUUAGUAUAAGAGUAAGACAGAAUUAUUCUGUGUGAUAGAGUAUAAGGGAAAACCCAUCCUGUGUGAUGGAACAUUACAGGGAAAACCCAUCCUGUGUGAUGGAACAUUACAGGGAAAACCCAUCCUGUGUGAUGGAACAUUACAGGGAAAACCCAUCCUGUGUGAUGGAACAUUACAGGGAAAACUAUCCUUCGUGAUAGAUGUACAAAUGAAAAUUUUUUCUUCUUGAUGCGGUGGGAAUAAAAGAAAGUCAUUAGUAUGCAAGGCAUUUCUUGCUCUAAAUUUAUAAAAUGGUAAUUAGGUCAAUGUUGUUUCAUAGUGUUAAGUAUCUAGUUUUGAUAGUAAAACCGGAAAUAAUGUAAUAAAAAAACAAGGAAUAUGAAGGAAAUCUUGGAACCUUAAUGUGUAUAAAAUUAAGAGAAGGUUGAAAAUAUAUUACACAGUGUAACGAUAAUAAUGAAGACUGAAUCAAAUAGAACUUUGAAAUUUAUUGGGUUAUUGCAAAGUUGACUUGAAGACGACUUCAGUAGUCACCACCACUCUGGCCCAGUCCCUGGGUUGCUGUCCUGAUCAACCAGGCUGUUGGUACUAGCCCCUCAGGGAAGGUUCCUUGAUAUUGGUGAGGGGCUCUUGGUUUAGGGAAUUGGAUCUGUGCUCCAGUUCCCCGAAUUAAGCCUGAUGCCUUCCACAUUCCCCCCCAGGCGCUGUAUAAUCCUACGGGUUUAGCGCUUCCCCUUGAUUAUAAUAAUAAUAAUGUUGGUACUAGCGACAAGCAGUCCCGUGUAGCUUCCACAGCCUGGCUGAUCAGAAACUAACCUAACCCCUACGCUUUUGAAAAUAUCUAGGGAUGUGUUGGUAACUUCCCCGUGUAUAAGAAGGUAUGAUGAUGAAGAGUCUUGGUCUCUUUACACUUACUUCGUUACUUCGUGUACUUACUGCAACCCUUCUUUUCACUGAAGCUAUUCUGAACUAUCUGCAGAGAAUCUUCCUCUCGUAGGGAAUAAUUUAGUUGUGCAGAUUUGGGACUUAUCAUUCCAGAAUUUUCCAGCUUUAAAUUAUAUAUUUUUGUCUUCUAUAUUCCGCCGAGUACAAUUCAAGGGACUUCAGAUGUUUCAGAUAAUUUAGGUAUAUGACUGAGUUUAUUCAGGCAGUGCGGGAUCUCUGUACAUUUUUCAGUUCUGUUUGCCUACCUUAAGAAGUUGUUUGUAUGUAGCAGUGAUUCAGUCAUCAGCAAACAUGUGACUUAGAGGGUAUCAUUGGUUUGCCAUAUCUUGUUUUGAAGGUUGUACAUAUCCAGUCUGCAGAACAACCACUGUGAAAAAAUAGUGAAAUUCCAAGGGAUUUCGUGACUUCUUACAUCGUCAAGGAACUAUAAAAAUAAAAGAUCAACAGGAAGGCGUAUAAGGAUGAGACUACACCUCACCGUCACCUUACAACACCUCACUAUUUUUUCACAGUGGUUGUUCUGCAUAUUGCGAUAUCACUGUUUACUGUGAUCUUAAUGCAUAUCCAGUCUAUCGGUUUCCUUGCUUUUGUGAUAACAACUCUGUUGUUAUAAGAUCUGAUAUCUGAUAUUAUAGCUUCUUAGUCACUCAGUCCUCUUCCACUUUACUGAAUGAUUUCUGUUUUCUACUCUUCUGUGUUUGUUAUUCACCAUUUUUUCCAUAACUGAAAUCUGUGGUUCCUUUGGCCCACCGGAAGACCUGGUCGGUAUCAUCUUGAAAAUUUGCUUUGUCGUCACUUGAUGCCACUCACAUUAAUUCUAGUCAUAUGCAAAACAUUAUACAGUGCUAUGACUGUGUACUGUAUAUGCUCUAUUGCUCACUUAAUAUAUAACAGUGUAAACGAUAUCAGGCUUUUAUAUGAGUUUAAAAGUGAAAAAGGUUAUAUUUCACUUUACAGCGAGUUUCACUUUACUGUGGUAGCCAGGAACCUAACCUGGUACAUAAGCCAGGUCCUCCUAUACAUCCAAGACCAUGUCGCAAUGGUCCACCAAUUAUGCUUUAAACCCACGUUGCCCCGGGUUGUGCAAAUGUUGUGAUUUAAUACGUUUAACAAUCUUAGUUUUCAAAAUCUCAAAGAUUUUAAUAAUGUGGGACGUCAGUACUAUCAGUCUAUUUUUUUUUUCUUUUUAG